UAUACACCUUGGUUCUAAUUGCUCAGAUUAGUUAUUCUUAAAUAAUUACAUGGCAGUCUAUACGCGAUUUAUGGGGACGCACACAAAACACUUUUAACAAACAACCUGCCCUAAAAGCUAAUAAGCAUAAUACAUAGCCCAUAACCCAGUAUAUUAUAUUAUUUAUAAACGAAAGUUAGAUCUAGUUAUAAGAAACAGGAAAGACAAAGACUUGUGCCAGCAGUCGCGGUUACACAAUAUUUCCAAAUUAACCCCCUUAAGUUAAAAAUACUCACAACAAAACUGCCUAAGAAACAUUACCACUUAUUAAGAAGUUAAAUUCAAAAAUAAGGUAAAAACUAAAAGUUUCUACAUUUUGCCUGAGUAAAACUAAUCCAAAAACUGGGAUUAGAUACCCCACUAUUCUCUCACACCCACAAUUUAUAUUUACUAAGAUACUACAAGCAGAUAGCUUUAAAACUAAAGAACUUGGCGGUGUUUUAUCCUAUUAGGGGAACCUGUCCUAUCAUUGACAAUCCACAAUUAACCUUACCUAUUUUAGUCCUUUAUAUAUUCAGCUUGCAUAUCGUUGUCAUCAGCCUAUCUCUAAAAGUUUAAAUAAUAGGCUCUCCAAAUACCCAAUUUUUAAAUGUCAGAUCAAGAUACAGCUAAUAAAUGGGCAGAGAUGGGUUACAAUACAUACCCCAGCUAUUGAAUUCCUCCUUUAAACUAAGAGGAUUAAAGCGGACUUAAAAGUAAUCUUGGUAUUAGCAUAACAUCAUGAAUUGGCCCUAAAACAUGCACAUAUCGCCCGUCGCUCUUAACUCACCUUUAAGAUAAGUCGUAACAUAGUAGAUGUAGUGGAAGCUGCCUCUGCCAUAU
RNAcentral lists this non-coding RNA (861 nucleotides) under Laevipilina antarctica. Lineage: Eukaryota; Metazoa; Mollusca; Monoplacophora; Tryblidiida; Neopilinidae. The record is from RNAcentral.